CCACCUCCCGGACUACUAGUAAAUAUAACCUAUCUGUCAGCCAGCCGCAAAAACAGUUGUUUUUGAUUUUAGAUAUUCUUUUCAGUAUUUUUUAAUCAUGGUAUAUUUUCCAUCUAAAUUCAGAAUGGAGUUUUUCUAACAAGUAUACAGCUUUAUAUUCGUGGCGAAAGGCGAAAUAAAAUAAGGAGAAGAAGUUGGAUUCACUAGGCCACUGCGGCAGAUAGGUAUUUAACUUCCUAAUGAACCAUGGGAGUUCACUGCUAUAUACUCCAUGAAUAUUCAUUUGGCCAAUCCGUAAUAGAUAUGUGAAAAUGAACACAAAAAGUGUCUAUUUCAUUGAAAUCCCCAAAACAAAUCAAAAAGUAGUUUAGCGUUACUCC
Molecule: long non-coding RNA, 380 nt
Organism: Coccinella septempunctata (seven-spotted ladybird)
Lineage: Eukaryota; Metazoa; Arthropoda; Insecta; Coleoptera; Coccinellidae
Exons: 3
Source: RefSeq, a predicted model, not a curated record